Molecule: unclassified non-coding RNA, 710 nt
Filed under: Hevea brasiliensis (rubber tree)
Lineage: Eukaryota; Viridiplantae; Streptophyta; Magnoliopsida; Malpighiales; Euphorbiaceae
Source: RNAcentral
GAGAUUGUGGAAUGACUCCAUUUGAAGGAGGAAUGCCAAGAAGACCGCAUAUAAUGACCAAGAAGCCCAAAAGAAGGAGGUCGUAAUGAUAUGAGGAAGGUUUCUUUAGAUUGAACUCUUUCUGUUGGGAAAGUUGAGAUGCAACACUGUGAUCGAAAUAGUAAAGGACAGCAAUCAUUGUGGCUGGGAUAAACGCUCCGACAAUAUAUAGAGGAGGAACAUGCAUCAUUUCCUUGAUAACCGUCCAAUUUGAGUAAGCUCCAGGUGACCAUGGAUUGGGGCUGAAAAGCCUCCGUGGUAUCCCUUGUGGAACAUCACGUGCUGGUAUGUAAGAAACAGCCGUCCAAACAAGCACCAUUAGUGGGACACCAUAGUCAGCAAUAAAUCCUCGAAACCAGCCUGUUCCAUAACGCCAGGAUCUAGCUUUACGGCUCCUCAGUGCGGUAAGAAGAAGCCCGAAAGAUAAAACUAGUGCAAACAUUCCAUUUCCAAAGCGCCAAGAAGGUGAUAAUGCAGCCUGACGAGGAUUUUCUCUCUGAGGUAUGCCAAACUCCUCCACCAACCCCUUAAUAGCCUCUUGCAUAAAGAGCAUUGCUAUGAGCAUGCCGAAUAAUUCACCAGCCAGACGUGUAAAUCUGUUUAUUAUGGAGCACGCCCCCAGAACGGCUAGCAAGAAAAGCAGAAAGGCGGUCCAAACACAAACCCAUCCU